ACGGCCAUACCAUACUGAAUAUACCGGUUCUCGUUAGAUCACCGAAGUCAAGCAUCAUUGGGCGCGGUCAGUACUUGGGUGGGUGACCACCUGGGAACACCACGUGCC
RNAcentral lists this ribosomal RNA (108 nucleotides) under Caerostris darwini. The record is from RNAcentral. Lineage: Eukaryota; Metazoa; Arthropoda; Arachnida; Araneae; Araneidae.